RNAcentral lists this transfer RNA (73 nucleotides) under Anaeromassilibacillus sp. An250. It matches the Rfam family "tRNA". Rfam says of the family: Transfer RNA (tRNA) molecules are approximately 80 nucleotides in length. Their secondary structure includes four short double-helical elements and three loops (D, anti-codon, and T loops). Further hydrogen bonds mediate the characteristic L-shaped molecular structure. tRNAs have two regions of fundamental functional importance: the anti-codon, which is responsible for specific mRNA codon recognition, and the 3' end, to which the tRNAs corresponding amino acid is attached (by aminoacyl-tRNA synthetases). tRNAs cope with the degeneracy of the genetic code in two manners: having more than one tRNA (with a specific anti-codon) for a particular amino acid; and 'wobble' base-pairing, i.e. permitting non-standard base-pairing at the 3rd anti-codon position. RNAcentral also lists the same sequence under 2 other names. Lineage: Bacteria; Bacillati; Bacillota; Clostridia; Eubacteriales; Acutalibacteraceae. The record is from Rfam by way of RNAcentral.
CGGGGUGUAGCGCAGUUGGUAGCGCGCCUGCUUUGGGAGCAGGAUGCCGCAGGUUCAAAUCCUGUCACUCCGA